GAUGAACGCUGGCGGCGUGCCUAAUACAUGCAAGUCGAGCGAACGGACGAGAAGCUUGCUUCUCUGAUGUUAGCGGCGGACGGGUGAGUAACACGUGGAUAACCUACCUAUAAGACUGGGAUAACUUCGGGAAAGCUGAGAUAAUACCGGAUAAUAUUUUGAACGGCAUGGUUCAAAAGAGAAAGACGGUCUUGCUGUCACUUAUAGAUGGAUCCGCGCUGCAUUAGCUAGUUGGUAAGGUAACGGCUUACCAAGGCAACGAUGCAUAGCCGAACUGAGAGGGUGAUCGGCCACACUGGAACUGAGACACGGUCCAGACUCCUACGGGAGGCAGCAGUAGGGAAUCUUCCGCAAUGGGCGAAAGCCUGACGGAGCAACGCCGCGUGAGUGAUGAAGGUCUUCGGAUCGUAAAACUCUGUUAUUAGGGAAGAACAUAUGUGUAAGUAACUGUGCACAUCUUGACGGUACCUAAUCAGAAAGCCACGGCUAACUACGUG
Molecule: ribosomal RNA, 497 nt
Filed under: uncultured bacterium
Lineage: Bacteria
Description: partial 16S ribosomal RNA
Rfam family: Bacterial small subunit ribosomal RNA
Source: RNAcentral